GACGAACGCUGGCGGCAUGCCUAACACAUGCAAGUCGAACGAGACCUUCGGGUCUAGUGGCGCACGGGUGCGUAACGCGUGGGAACCUGCCCUUAGGUUCGGAAUAACUCCCCGAAAGGGGUGCUAAUACCGGAUAAUGUCUUCGGACCAAAGAUUUAUCGCCUUUGGAUGGGCCCGCGUUGGAUUAGCUAGUUGGUAGGGUAAAAGCCUACCAAGGCGACGAUCCAUAGCUGGUCUGAGAGGAUGAUCAGCCACACUGGGACUGAGACACGGCCCAGACUCCUACGGGAGGCAGCAGUGGGGAAUAUUGGAAAAUGGGCGAAAGCCUGAUCCAGCAAUGCCGCGUGAGUGAUGAAGGCGUUAGGGUUGUAAAGCUCUUUUAACCGGGAUGAUAAUGACAGUACCGGGAGAAUAAGCACCGGCUAACUCCGUG
RNAcentral lists this ribosomal RNA (433 nucleotides) under uncultured bacterium. RNAcentral's name for it is "partial 16S ribosomal RNA". It matches the Rfam family "Bacterial small subunit ribosomal RNA", at positions 28 to 507 of the family's 1533-position model. The record is from RNAcentral.